GGCGAACGGGUGAGUAACGCGUGGGUAACCUGCCCCUGAAUCUGGAAUAACUUCGCGAAAGCGAGGCUAAUACCGGAUAUUGUCCCAGGGACCUCGGUCUCUGUGAUGAAAGAUGACCUCUUCACGAAAGUUGUCGUUCAGGGAGGGGCCCGCGUACCAUUAGCUAGUUGGUAGGGUAAUGGCCUACCAAGGCGAUGAUGGUUAGCUGGUCUGAGAGGAUGACCAGCCACACUGGCACUGAAACACGGGCCAGACUCCUACGGGAGGCAGCAGUGAGGAAUUUUGCGCAAUAGGGGAAACCCUGACGCAGCAACGCCGCGUGAGUGAAGAAGGCCCUCGGGUCGUAAAGCUCUGUCAAGUGGGAAAAAAGCUUGCUGGUGAAUAGCCAGUAAGACUGAUGGUACCAUUGAAGGAAGCACCGGCUAACUCCGUGCCAGCAGCCGCGGUAAUACGGAGGGUGCAAGCGUUGUUCGGAAUUACUGGGCGUAAAGGGCGUGUAGGCGGUGUGGUAAGUCAGAUGUG
This 522-nucleotide ribosomal RNA is filed under the name uncultured delta proteobacterium. RNAcentral's name for it is "bacterial SSU rRNA". It matches the Rfam family "Bacterial small subunit ribosomal RNA", at positions 97 to 596 of the family's 1533-position model. Lineage: Bacteria; Deltaproteobacteria. The record is from RNAcentral.